Molecule: ribosomal RNA, 127 nt
Filed under: Thermococcus barophilus
Lineage: Archaea; Methanobacteriati; Methanobacteriota; Thermococci; Thermococcales; Thermococcaceae
Source: RNAcentral
GGUGCGGCGGUCAUAGCGGCGGGGUCACACCCGGUCUCGUUUCGAUCCCGGAAGUUAAGCCCGCCAGCGAUCCCGGUUGUACUGCCCUCCGAGAGGGGGCGGGAAGCCGGGGACGCCGCCGGCCACU